Molecule: ribosomal RNA, 953 nt
Filed under: Acinetobacter sp. Tpl-26
Lineage: Bacteria; Pseudomonadati; Pseudomonadota; Gammaproteobacteria; Moraxellales; Moraxellaceae
Description: bacterial SSU rRNA
Rfam family: Bacterial small subunit ribosomal RNA
Source: RNAcentral
AACUUAGCGGCGGACGGGUGAGUAAUACUUAGGAAUCUGCCUAUUAGUGGGGGACAACAUUUCGAAAGGAAUGCUAAUACCGCAUACGUCCUACGGGAGAAAGCAGGGGAUCACUUGUGACCUUGCGCUAAUAGAUGAGCCUAAGUCGGAUUAGCUAGUUGGUGGGGUAAAGGCCUACCAAGGCGACGAUCUGUAGCGGGUCUGAGAGGAUGAUCCGCCACACUGGGACUGAGACACGGCCCAGACUCCUACGGGAGGCAGCAGUGGGGAAUAUUGGACAAUGGGGGGAACCCUGAUCCAGCCAUGCCGCGUGUGUGAAGAAGGCCUUUUGGUUGUAAAGCACUUUAAGCGAGGAGGAGGCUACUCUAGUUAAUACCUAGGGAUAGUGGACGUUACUCGCAGAAUAAGCACCGGCUAACUCUGUGCCAGCAGCCGCGGUAAUACAGAGGGUGCGAGCGUUAAUCGGAUUUACUGGGCGUAAAGCGUGCGUAGGUGGCCAAUUAAGUCAAAUGUGAAAUCCCCGAGCUUAACUUGGGAAUUGCAUUCGAUACUGGUUGGCUAGAGUAUGGGAGAGGAUGGUAGAAUUCCAGGUGUAGCGGUGAAAUGCGUAGAGAUCUGGAGGAAUACCGAUGGCGAAGGCAGCCAUCUGGCCUAAUACUGACACUGAGGUACGAAAGCAUGGGGAGCAAACAGGAUUAGAUACCCUGGUAGUCCAUGCCGUAAACGAUGUCUACUAGCCGUUGGGGUCUUUGAGACUUUAGUGGCGCAGCUAACGCGAUAAGUAGACCGCCUGGGGAGUACGGUCGCAAGACUAAAACUCAAAUGAAUUGACGGGGGCCCGCACAAGCGGUGGAGCAUGUGGUUUAAUUCGAUGCAACGCGAAGAACCUUACCUGGUCUUGACAUAGUAAGAACUUUCCAGAGAUGGAUUGUGCCUUCGGGAGCUUACAUACA